UUUCAGGAUGGGAGGGGGGGACACGGACACCUCAGCAUGCAGGGAGUCAAAGCAAACACUUUUCUGAUUGUGGUUACAAAUAAUCUGCUGUCCCCUAUUUAAAAAUCCCAGUCAUGGGGAGAUGAUGUUGGGGAAAGACUUUUAAAGGUGUGAUGGAGGUGCCUUCGUAUUUAUAAUGCUAUUUGAUUCAACACUUUUACCAAAAUAAAGAUAUGAAGACAGGCAACAGGAAGCCAGCACUAAUAAACGUAGAUGCUUUAGGCAGGCAAAUACCAAGUAUUGUCUGUACACGGAAACUUUAAAGAACCCCAAAACAAACAAAUAUUGUUUGAUCAGAGAAUCUGCUGAUGCUAACUUUUAUUGCUGUUUCUAAGGUCACUAGAGUAAACUACUCAUUUUCAGGACAAGAAACAGCUACAGGGUAGUUUUGCUGUUGCUGUUCCUGUUGUACCAAAUAACUAAUGUAGACAAUCAUUAUCUGACAGCUGCUGCUCAAUGUGCAGUUGCUUGUUCUACCAGUAUCGAGUUGUGCCACCGUACUAACCUUGUGGUCGCACUUAAUUUGACGCUUGAUCAUGUAAAUUCAUUUAUUGAAGGAGAGGGCUGGCUCCUUUCUGGUGAAGUCUAUUUUUAACACUUAAGAAUAUAUAUUAUGCUCAGUGGGGGUCAGAGUGCAAUAUGCAUUCCAUGUGGAGGUACUAUACAAGUAUAUUGUUAAAGGGUUUAAACUUGAAAAUUGUGUUGAUAAAACUCAUAGAUGAAGUCCUGAGAAGCUUUCUGCCUCUCAAAAUUGGUGCAAAACCCCUCGCUGUGGGGGGAAGGGGAGGGGGCAAGGGCUAGGGGAAGAAAGAGGGGUGUAUCCUUUAGUAAACAAGUUCAAACAUUUUCACUUCGUAGGUCCUACUUCUAUGUAGUAAGACAGUCAUUGUGACAUCCUCAGUGGUUUUAUUUCCCUCAUGCGGCUGUAAAAAUUUUUUUUUUUUUUUUCAGUUUUAUAACUCCGCUUUAAGCAGAUUAUUGCUGUAGUUGUGAGCUUCAAAGUUUUGUUCAGGCGUGUUGUGUGUUAGUUACAUAUGUUGGUUAUCUCAGUUUAACUGUUUUGAAGCUUGUGUUUUACAGGCUGGACACUUUCCCACAGGAAGCACACUUGCACUUCUGCAGCAGAAACCUGCACUAGUUUUAGCUUCACUCUCAGUGACAGGCUGGACUCUAGAAUUACUAUUGCAACACAGUACACACACUUAGUGAAAAGUCUGAUUGUGUUAUUGAAAGCAAUUGCACAAAGGGACCAAGUACUGCUGCCUCCUAGUGUCAAUUAUAUUGCAUCAGUAAAGGUUUCAUUACUCACAAUUUUAAUCUUACUAAGGAGUCCUAGAAUACAUGAAGUAAUAAUCUGAUUUUUAAACCUGCCUUUUAAGCAUAAAGCUAUAAAAAUACAGACAACUCUUGUUCAAGCUUACCUAUUGAAGGUUUUAUAGCUUUUAAGUCUAGGAAUGCAAAGUAUGAUUAAGAAUGUUUUAUACACAACAAAAUCCCUUUAUUUCAAUUUCUAAUAAACCACAAGCUAGAACUUCCUAAACUUAUAGAACAGUGCCCUAGAUUGGGGAAAAUGAUUUCAGAGGAUGCCUUUACUCCAUAAGAUUGUUUUAAUUUCCUUUUAUGCUGUGUUUUCCCCUUUAAAUAGCUGCUGUAAAUAUGCUUAGGUUGCUUCCGAUGCUGGUUCAAUUUGGAAAGCCACCCUAGCUUUGAACAACACUGUCAAAGCACCAACUCAGUAGUGUUUAACAGCCUUAUUCAACACAAACUCUGCCUGUUCCUGUUGCUCACAGGCUUUGUAGGCUUUCUGUAACUACAGCAAAUGGACUGUGCCCUCAGUGCAUUUUGUCACAUUCAACAGUUUCCAUGAUUGUGUAGGGCAGGACUCACCUUGCCAUGCUUUUGAAGACAGCUUCUACAGUUCCCUCCUCCCACAGGGAAUGGAGGAGACAAGAUGACUAUGUGCCUGCCUUAAAUACCCAUUUUUGGAGAAGAUGUAUCUCCCAUUAGGUGUUGGGUUUUUUUCAAUAAUUAUAGGAGGCUUACAUGUCUUCUGCCUUGGAUAUUGGGUACCAAACUUUAAACAUCUCAAAUAGACUUUUUCUAGGUGUUCAACAAAGCAUGAGAAUUUUCAACAGCAUCAAGACUGCUGUAUACUGAGACUAUCUAGUUCUAAUCCUUGUCCAGUCAAGAGCUGUUCCCCAUAAAGACCACUUUUUAGAAGACAGUAGAGACAGUAAUUUAGGUCAAGUGAGUCAUUGUUUUGAUUUUUCAAAGGAUCUGUAGCUAAAAAUAAUCCCUGGGUGCUAUGUUGGUACUAUCUUGGUUUAAGUAAUAAAAUGCCUCAAGUGAGGGGUAAAUUAUUCUGUGAAUCGGGCAGCCUUCCUGCAUUUGGGCAUUAUUUGACUAAAAAGCUAGUGGUUUGCUUAGACUACAUGAAAUAGUAUAGUUCUGGUCACUGCAAGCUGUAUGUGCAAAGUAUUUGGUCUGAAAACUGUUGGUGUUGUGAUACUAACAAAUGAAAAGCCAACUGAAUUGUAAAGUAGAACUUAUUAGAUGUAAAAGCUUUAACUGUAUUUCAUAGAUUCUUACAGAGGGGCCAUUUUGCUUCAAAUUGGACUCACUAAAAAAUUUAUAGUAAAUAUCUCUCUAUCAAUUAAGGAAGUUCUGAACUUUGUCUUGCAUGGACUCUUGAAUCCAGUCAAGAGAAGAACGCAUCUCACUCCUGUUUUAGAAAUAAAACUUUUUUGGUAAGAACACAGGAAAUUUUCAGUUCUCCAAAGUCUUCAUGAAAAUAACUGUUUAUUCCUUUUUGCUUCUGAAAGUACUUAGCUAAGUGAAACAGGAAUUUUACAGUGUGUAAUGCUGCAAUUUAAUUAUAGUGUUGUGAAGACUAGUGUUUACAGUGUAAAAUGUUACCAUGAAAACUGCGUCAAGAAUGUCCCUGUAAAAUACAGUAGCAUGCCUGUUCAGUCACUGCUGUCACAUCUUCACAACUAUGAAAUACUGACUUUUCCACUGGAUGCUGAGAUAGUCAAGGUGAUCACUAAACUUAGAGCCAAACUUUACAAACCUGAGGGACAGACCUGAAUUUUUGGUAAGUAUUUUAUCCAGGUAGCAAAUGCACAUUUAAACUGAAUUUUUAACACGUAGUGAAGUGUAUCCGUUUUAAUUUUUUAUGGUAUAAUGCAGUGCCACUGAACUAUAAAGGACUCUCUGACUUUUUUCUUUUUUACUGUGAUAGGGACCAAAUGCUAGCAAUCUGAGGGUCUUACGUGUGGUAACCUGGAUGUUCCAGUUUAUUUUCCAGCUCAGACAGUGCAUUCAGCAGCAAAGCCAUAUAUGGAGCCUGACUCAACACCUUGACAGUAGCCCCAAUGAAAUUAUGGGCACAAUUGAGGGGGAAGAUGCCUCAGCUAUUGUUAGCACUGAAUUCACUUUAAAAACAAUAGGGAUAUACCAUCUAAGCUUGAAGCAAUAUGUGUUUUUUAAAGUUUUUAAACAGUAUUUGUUUUUAAUGCUUCUGUAUUGUCUAUAUUUAAUAGUGUAGUGUCAGCUUGUACAUGUGAAUAAAAUGAGUGACACAAAGUG
Molecule: long non-coding RNA, 3627 nt
Organism: Empidonax traillii (willow flycatcher)
Lineage: Eukaryota; Metazoa; Chordata; Aves; Passeriformes; Tyrannidae
Exons: 3
Source: RefSeq, a predicted model, not a curated record